CUUGUUACACUAUGAACAUAACUCAUCGGUAAAUAAUGAUUUUUCUACCUUGUUUUAUUUUCCUGAGAGCAAUUUUUUGUUUCAAAUUAUGCUAUAAUUGAUGAUAAGAAUAUCAAUUAAAUUUAACAAGUGGCUCAAUGUUUUUUCAGAAUCUCCAAAAUAUAAUAAAAAUAUUUGGUAACUUUUCUAAAUUUCCCUCUAUAUGUUAAGCACAGAGGAGUUGCCAAUAAGAAUCUUAUUACACAAUACAACAAAACACAACCUGUCAAAACCACAAGUCACUCAAAACACAACUAAACAAUACCUAAAAACCAAAGCCAAUUUGAACUGAGGAACCGUUUUACCGAAGAACCAGACAUUUGACAGUAGCACUGCUGCACUGCAGGCAAGAAACAGACCAAAGUUUUCCUUUCAAUGGUUGAGAAUAUGAAAUAAUGCUUUGAAUUCUUGACUCAUUAGUUGCUGC
Molecule: long non-coding RNA, 466 nt
Filed under: Trifolium pratense (red clover)
Lineage: Eukaryota; Viridiplantae; Streptophyta; Magnoliopsida; Fabales; Fabaceae
Description: long non-coding RNA (TPRA_LNC005686)
Source: RNAcentral